ACGCUGGCGGCGUGCCUAAUACAUGCAAGUAGAACGCUGAAGGAGGAGCUUGCUUCUCUGGAUGAGUUGCGAACGGGUGAGUAACGCGUAGGUAACCUGCCUGGUAGCGGGGGAUAACUAUUGGAAACGAUAGCUAAUACCGCAUAACAGUAGAUGUUGCAUGACAUUUGCUUAAAAGGUGCAAUUGCAUCACUACCAGAUGGACCUGCGUUGUAUUAGCUAGUUGGUGGGGUAACGGCUCACCAAGGCGACGAUACAUAGCCGACCUGAGAGGGUGAUCGGCCACACUGGGACUGAGACACGGCCCAGACUCCUACGGGAGGCAGCAGUAGGGAAUCUUCGGCAAUGGACGGAAGUCUGACCGAGCAACGCCGCGUGAGUGAAGAAGGUUUUCGGAUCGUAAAGCUCUGUUGUAAGAGAAGAACAGGUGUGAGAGUGGAAAGUUCACACUGUGACGGUAUCUUACCAGAAAGGGACGGCUAACUACGUGCCAGCAGCCGCGGUAAUACGUAGGUCCCGAGCGUUGUCCGGAUUUAUUGGGCGUAAAGCGAGCGCAGGCGGUUAGAUAAGUCUGAGGUUAAAGGCUGUGGCUUAACCAUAGUACGCUUUGGAAACUGUUUAACUUGAGUGCAAGAGGGGAGAGUGGAAUUCCAUGUGUAGCGGUGAAAUGCGUAGAUAUAUGGAGGAACACCGGUGGCGAAAGCGGCUCUCUGGCUUGUAACUGACGCUGAGGCUCGAAAGCGUGGGGAGCAAACAGGAUUAGAUACCCCUGGUAGUCCACGCCGUAAACGAUGAGUGCUAGGUGUUAGACCCUUUCCGGGGUUUAGUGCCGCAGCUAACGCAUUAAGCACUCCGCCUGGGGAGUACGACCGCAAGGUUGAAACUCAAAGGAAUUGACG
RNAcentral lists this ribosomal RNA (899 nucleotides) under uncultured bacterium. RNAcentral describes it as "bacterial SSU rRNA". It matches the Rfam family "Bacterial small subunit ribosomal RNA", at positions 33 to 915 of the family's 1533-position model. The record is from RNAcentral.